GAUUUCAGGACUUUUUCUCAAUUUUAAUUGACUUGGUACAUUGCUGAGGAGAUGUGAAAAGCAAGUAACUCACACCUAUAAUCACAGUGUCCUUAGGAUUUGAAAAAGUAAUUUGAACUCUGAGAUACUUGUGUGACCUGUAGGACACCCAGAAAGGAACUCGCCCUAUUGCGGUUUGGUUUUGUGAUGGAGGCUACUUAUCUAGUCAGCUCUCUUGGAAGUCAAAGCUGAUGGCAUUCCCAUUUGGGACCACCUAGACCAAACAUCUAUGUCAACACCUGGAGGAAUGCUUCUACUUAAGACAUUGCAAAGGAAACAGAGGGACUGAUUUAGAUUAGUUGGAUCCAUAUGUAAUGAAAGUUCUGCCUAAUUAACUGUAAAAUUGACUUCAGCUUUAAAAUAAAUAUGUGACUGUAAAGUCCAACAUCUCUUCUCUUGGGGGUCAAGGCCUUCCCGGCCACUUGGAUGCUUCAGAUGAGUAAAGUAUUGGUUAACAAUUUAUUUAUAUUCUUAGUCCAAUAAAAGAACUAAGGAGAAAAUUAAAUUCAUGCCUAGGGACUUCUUAAACCCCAUUCCCAAAUAUAAAGGAAUAUAGUAUAUACACUUAUAUGAAAGAAUAUGUGUAUAUAUACUCGGCCCAGUAAAAAAUCCUUGACAAAAUAGCAAUACUCUAAAUUUUUUUUUCAGAAAUUGGCAAGCCUCUUCAAAGUGAUGGGAAAGACAUUAAUAUUUGGUGAGGAAUUCUACAUAGUAGGGAUAGUUAACGUGACCUUUAUAAGGCUUACAGAGUUUAAAGCAUUUUUCUGAAGUCACAUGGCUGGUAAUGGGUCCAAGUGAGUUUCAAAACCAGGUCUGGGGCCAGCCCAGGGGCACAGCGGUUAUGUUCGCACGUUCCGCUUCUCGGAAGCCCGGGGUUCGCCGGUUCAGAUCCCAGGUGCUGACAUGGCACCACUUGUCAAGCCAUGCUGUGGCAGGUGUCCCACGUAUAAAGUAGAGGAAGAUGGGCACGGAUGUUAGCUCAGGGUCAGUCUUCCUCAGCAAAAAGAGGAGGAUUGGCAGCAGAUGUUAUCUCAUGGCUAAUCUUCCUCAAAAAAAAUAAAAAAUAAAUUAAAAAAAAAAAAA
This 1122-nucleotide long non-coding RNA is filed under the name Equus caballus (horse). RNAcentral describes it as "lncRNA (ENSECAG00000051916.1)". Lineage: Eukaryota; Metazoa; Chordata; Mammalia; Perissodactyla; Equidae. The record is from RNAcentral.